RNAcentral lists this unclassified non-coding RNA (441 nucleotides) under Hevea brasiliensis (rubber tree). The record is from RNAcentral. Lineage: Eukaryota; Viridiplantae; Streptophyta; Magnoliopsida; Malpighiales; Euphorbiaceae.
UGGUCGAACCCCUUAGAAACAAGGUGAGAACUUCCAUCUUUUGUUAGUGAAGACUUUUUAAUUUAUAACAAAUGAACUUAAUUUAAUUGUUCUGCACAUAAGUUUUGCAAAGCAAAUUCAUGAUAUAUUUUAUUAUUGGCAAAUGCUUUUCAUUUGCUAUAUGCACAAUUUCCUUUGAAACAGUUGGAUUAUCAUAGCGUAAGUUCUCUACCAAAUAUGUUUCACUUGGGCUGAUAAUUGUGAAUUUUCCCCCCUUAGUUCCUGUUUGUAACUGUUUUUGGUUUAAUGAUGAAUAAUUUUUAAUUCAUGUUUGCUUUAGGCUGAUUAUUGACCAAAUCAUAAGAUUUUUCUUUAUGAUGUUCUUGUACUUUAACAUGAACAAAUUUCAUGUGGGGGACAGCUUAAUUUUCUUUAUUGCUUCUACAGAUUACCGAAUGCUCC